CAUGUAAUUUACUUGUGACUUUCAGCAGUGAACAAACCAUCAAAAUGCAAGAGAUCAUACGUUUAUGGGUCCAUUGAGAAUGCCUCACCUCUAAGGAUAGAAGAUCACAGAUAAAUGACAUAUGCAACACAAAGGCCGCAAAUAAAAUAAUUUUGAAAAAAGCAAAAGUGAAAGAGUUAGAUAUUAGGGCAUGUUUGGUUCACCUAUUUUAGACUAUGGAAUCGGAAUGGAAUUCAUUGAUUCCGAUAGUUGCCAUUUGUUUUAUAGGAAUCGGAUUCCAAUUCCUAUUCCACUUCGGAAUGGGAAUGGCCAAAUCCAUUUAUGAUCCAAUCCAGCUUUGAAUUCUAGAUUGGCUCAUUUCAAAGUAAACUAUUCAAAAUCCUUUCUCACCAACACCUACCUACUCUCCCUUCAUCACUUUCCUCUCUCUUAAUCAAAACCCUCUCUAAAAAAUUUUAAAUUUUCAUUCCAAUUUCCAUUCCAAUAAUAAACCAAAUAUUUUUGGAUGAUUCGUCAUUCCAUUUCCAAUUCCAAAGCAAUCCAAUUCCAUUUCCCAUUCCUAUUCCAAUCAUGAACCAAACAUGCCCUUAGUGUACAGUUGGCUCUAUCC
RNAcentral lists this long non-coding RNA (610 nucleotides) under Ananas comosus (pineapple). Its description in RNAcentral is "long non-coding RNA (ACOM_LNC033069)". Lineage: Eukaryota; Viridiplantae; Streptophyta; Magnoliopsida; Poales; Bromeliaceae. The record is from RNAcentral.